UGGGGAAUCUUGGACAAUGGGGGCAACCCUGGAUCCAGCCAUGCCGCGUGAGUGAAGAAGGUCUUCGGAUUGUAAAGCUCUUUUGCCAGGGACGAUAAUGACGGUACCUGGAGAAUAAGCCCCGGCAAACUUCGUGCCAGCAGCCGCGGUAAUACGAAGGGGGCUAGCGUUGUUCGGAAUUACUGGGCGUAAAGCGCACGUAGGCGGGUGGUUAAGUUAGGGGUGAAAUCCCGGAGCUCAACUCCGGAACUGCCUUUGAUACUGGCCAUCUAGAGAUCGGAAGAGGUGAGUGGAAUUCCCAGUGUAGAGGUGAAAUUCGUAGAUAUUGGGAAGAACACCGGUGGCGAAGGCGGCUCACUGGUCCGAUACUGACGCUGAGGUGCGAAAGCGUGGGGAGCAAACCAGGAUUAGAUACCCCUGGUAGUCCACGCUGUAAACGAUGGAAGCUAGCCGUCAGUCAGCUUGCUGAGUGGUGGCGCACUAACGCAUUAAGCUUCCCGCCUGGGGAGUACGGUCGCAAGAUUA
This 525-nucleotide ribosomal RNA is filed under the name uncultured bacterium. RNAcentral describes it as "bacterial SSU rRNA". It matches the Rfam family "Bacterial small subunit ribosomal RNA", at positions 355 to 896 of the family's 1533-position model. The record is from RNAcentral.